RNAcentral lists this ribosomal RNA (918 nucleotides) under Triticum aestivum (bread wheat). Its description in RNAcentral is "partial small subunit ribosomal RNA". The record is from RNAcentral. Lineage: Eukaryota; Viridiplantae; Streptophyta; Magnoliopsida; Poales; Poaceae.
AUGGAGGAUGUUGACGAUGACAACGACACUACUUCCAUUUCAAAUGUUCCAGAUCCCUAUGAUAUGGUUUAUAGCAAACUCCCAACCAACACACACAAGCUGAAGUCGGUGGAGGACUGCAAACACUGCUAUGCAAAGAAGUUCGAGCGUGAGUCCAUGGGUUUUUGCUGCCGGAAGAGGAAGAUCAAACUGGCCAACCCAGAUACGCCACCCGAGCUCAUGAGGCUAUGGACAAGUGCAGACUCUGAUUCCAGGCAUUUUCGUGACAAUAUCAGGUUUUUCAACGGCCACUUCUCAUUCACCUCACUAUAUUGUCACCUUGAUAGUGAUACCACUAACAUAUCAAAGCACCAUAUCUAUACAUUUCGUGCCCAUGGCCAAAUGUACCACAACAUACGGUCAUUCGGCAAACAAGAUGGUUUGGACUGUAGUCACUUGGAGCUCUACUUCUAUGAUGAUGACCCCAGUUUAGAACGCAUGUAUCGCAGUUGCCGUAAAGAGCAGUGCCAGAAAGGCAAAGAAAUAAUCACACAAUUGGUCAACAUACUUCAUGGCAACCCAUACUCUGAACAUCUCUGGAGUAUGGACCAUGUUGAUGAUGUUGAUGACUAUCACAUAACACUUAACCUUGACCAACGGAUGGAUCAAAGAAGAUAUAACACGUCGACCACUUUAGAAGUAGCUGUUGUGUGGGCGGAGGGUAGUGAAUGUCGAAGACAAUUCAACAAUAGCGUCAUCCUACAAGGGAAGAAUAGAGAUAUAUAUGGCAUCAAGUCCUACCAUGGAUGCUAUGAUGCGUUGUCGUACCCUCUUUUCUUCCCUAGAGGUGAACUUGGGUGGCAUACUGAUAUCCCGAAGGAAGGUGUGCCCCAUGUCCGUCGCACCCGCCGAGGUGAGAUCCUUGCAUUCACAUAUUAG